GAGGAGUAAGGGAAACUUUCAGAGUUGUAGAACCUAAAACUUCAGCCUGUCCUUGCUUGAACUAGGAGCACUGUCACCACAGGAGCCUUUACUGAAGACCUGAGAGGAUGAGUGGUCAGACCCCACCCACACACACUCUGCUGACACAUGAAGCUUUGAUCAUGUCCUCUCUGGAGGAGUUGCCUACUGUGGUCUUCCCAGCACUAUUCAAAGAGGCCUUUGCUGGCAGACAAACCAAUCUCCUAAAGGCAAUGGUGGCAGCCUGGCCUUUCCCCUGUCUCCCUGUGGGGUCAUUGAUGAAGAAGCCUAACCUAGAAACCUUGCAAGCCCUGCUAGAUGGAAUAGACAUGCGACUGACAAGAGAGUUUCACCCCAGGAGGGCAAAACUUCAGGUUCUUGACAUGAGAAAUAUGUACCAUGCCUUCUGGAACAUACGGGCUGAUGCAAAUGACAGUGACUGUAAAUCAAAGACAUUGGAUGAAAAGCAGCUAGUGAAGGUCCUUCCGAGAUAUGCACGGAGGCAGCGUCUGAAGGUCAUAGUCAACCUGUCAAUCAGUUCCCACUUCAAUAAAUCAAAGGCAUAUUUCUUGAAUUGGGCCAAGCAGAGAAUAGGAUCCCUAUAUUUCUGCUGUAUAAAGAUGAAGAUCUGGGACCCACCAGACCAAGUUAUCAGAGACAUCUUUAAUGUUUUUGAUCCAGAGCACAUCACAGAAUUAGAACUGAAUACUGACUGGACUCUGUUACAGCUUGCACAUUUUGCUCCCUAUUUUGGGCACAUGAAAAAUCUUCAAAAAGUCUUCCUGGCACCCCUCCACAAGAAUACCUCCCCUAUUAUCAAUAUAACAAGUGCCACAGAAGCCAAGUGUGUUCACAAAAUUAUUUCUCAGUUUUCCCAAUUCAACUGUCUCCAGCAUAUCUUCAUGAAACACGUCCAUUUUCUAAGAGACUACAUGAAUCAGGUCCUAGGGUAAGCAAGAAUGGAGAUCUGGGUCAGGUGCCUGAUGACACCCUUGGAGACCCUCUCCAUCACUCAAUGCCUAAUUUCACAGAGAGACUUUGAUUUAUUUUCCUGCUCCCAAAACCUCUUUAAAUUAAAACAUCUGGAAAUAAGAGGGAUGAUCUUAUAUGCUUUGGAUCUUAUGCCUCUGAGAGGUCUCCUACAAAAAGUAGCAGACACUCUUGAGAUUCUGGAUUUUCAGUGGUGUAGGAUGUAGGACUCCCAGAUCAAUGCCCUCCUACCUGCCCUCAGUCAAUGCACUCAGCUCAACCAGAUCAACUUCUACAACAAUGACUUCUCCAUGUGCACCCUGAAGGCCCUUUUCCAGCACACAGCCAACUGGAGCAAGAUGAAUGUGGAACAAUACCCUGCCCCUCUGCAGUGCUAUAAUGAGUUGGGUCAUGUCUCUGUAGAAAGAUUUGUCCAACUUUGUCAGGAGCUCAUGUAUACUCUCAGAGCUAUAAGGCAGCCCAAGAGCAUCUCUUUUGCUACAGAUAACUGUCAAAAAUGUGGUAAGCCCUGUGUCUAUGACCAGGGCCCAAUAUUUUGUUCUUGUUUUCAGUAAACAUAGAUACAGGACUUCUGGAUAUGAAUAAAUGACAGGCUUGGGACACAUCUUUUAUCUGCAGUGCUCAGAAACUGUGAUUUCAGACACUUCCCAUAUGGUUGGAAAUAAAGAGAUUUACAGUGACUGGGACCCUGAAGGUUGAGCUUAACAUUGGGACCAUUUCGAUGGAAUCUGAUAUCAGGGGGGUUGUGGGGUCAGAAAAAGAGUUUGGCAUUUAUAUGUGGCUUCUGCCCAGACAUUGUAUAUAUAGAUGCUUUUUUGUGUACUCAUAAACCUAGAUGAUCUCUCUCAUGGGUCUUUGACUAUUAACAACAUCACUAUCAGGGUCAGGGUCUAGAAGGUUGAAUAGGUCCAGGAUUGGAAAUACACUGUUAUUUUAUAAAGAAAGGUAAGUUUUAGGUGAUAAAUGGCAUGUAUAAAAUGAAAGUAUUCGUGACACAUCUUUCCCUUGUCUCUUGCCUGGGCUACAUGUGUAACACUUUUGUGUGGCUGAUCAGUUAUGUGCACAAAACAUUUAAACUAAAGUGAGCAACAUAGACAAAUUCUUUGAAGGAGGAAGAAAAGUGUCACAAAUGGUUACUAUACAGUACAUUCAGACCACAAAGCACCUUGGACCCAUCAAAGAUGCCUAAAGUUAAGAAGACAACAUAGAGCAAAGCAAACAGGCUUUCCAUUCUAGCUUUGAACUCUUGAUAUUUUUGUCAUGCCUUAAUGAGUUUACUAACAGGAACCUCUAUAUGAGGUCUUCAUGACAUGUGUCUCUAGGGCCCUAUUCCUAUGGAGUCCCAAAAUCUAUGAAGUACCUAUAGUAUAUGUAAAGGUGUCCAAUAAUAUGCAGGUAACUUAUCUACAUGAAGUAUUUACUUUUAAAAAAUGUAUUUUAAGGCUUUAGUUGUAAUAAAAACAAAAGAAAAGAAUCUCCCUCUGCCUAGUCAUUAUACCCCUUUCUGUAUAGCAAACUAUCAAUAAAAUAAUUUA
This is an RNA transcript of Mus musculus (house mouse), 2543 nucleotides long. It is a transcript of the gene named PRAME like 59, with no coding region annotated. Lineage: Eukaryota; Metazoa; Chordata; Mammalia; Rodentia; Muridae. The record is from RefSeq and is marked validated. The transcript has 4 exons.